Engraulis encrasicolus (European anchovy) is the source of this 557-nucleotide long non-coding RNA. RefSeq lists it as uncharacterized. The transcript is spliced from 4 exons. The record is from RefSeq and is a predicted model, not a curated record. NCBI's taxonomy places the organism in Eukaryota, Metazoa, Chordata, Actinopteri, Clupeiformes, Engraulidae.
UACUCUAACAAGGAGAUAGAACACUGACGAAUGUCUCCAUAGGAAUAAACGGUGUGAAAUCGUAACGCCAAAACGUCGAAUGCCUGCUUAUCUCCCGCCUACCCGCAACAAGAGCCAAUCGGUUGCUGAGCUGUGCCAUCAUUGAUCCAAUCAUCUCAUCGCAUCGACGCAAGCGCAAAAAUGAGCUUUUACGACGGCUCGUUCCUCAUCAGCUGUUGCCAUGUGUGUGGCCCGUUUUCCGACCGUACCGUAACCAGGUAAUGGGAUCUACCCGUCAGAUGUACAACUGUCUUGGGAAUCCUCAUACAGACUAAAGGUGUUUUGCCCCCGCGGUUGUGAAGAGGAUGCUGUGGAAGUGGCAGCAUGAACGUGUCACACAGACAUUGGCUAAACUGCUCAGCUUCUACACUUGCCCUCAGAGUUCACAUAUGGUUAAGUGCCCAGGUGUCCAGCCAGGUUCAGACUGAUGCUGGUAACAAGAGGAAAACAUGCUGAUUGGAAUGAUUCAACGAUGGACAUUUUGCUUAAUUGUGGAAAAAAAUAAAUGGAAAAACUUC